This is a non-coding RNA of Halolamina pelagica, 176 nucleotides long. The record is from Rfam. NCBI's taxonomy places the organism in Archaea, Methanobacteriati, Methanobacteriota, Halobacteria, Halobacteriales, Haloferacaceae.
GGGGACGUGGCCAAGCCCGGGAUGGCGACUGACUCCAGAGGCCACGCGCCCGGUGACGAACUCCAGACUGAUAUACCGAGUCGGCGACUGAUCAUCGCCGGCGACGACGACCCUCUGGAGGACCGAGGCGCACCGGAGAUAUCAGUCGAUCGGGGGUUCAAAUCCCUCCGUCCCCA